UGUACCCCAGGAGUGAGGAAUAACUGCCCGAAAGGGUGGCUAAUACCGCAUACGGUCUUCGGAUUAAAGCCUUCGGGCGCUUUGGGAACAGCUCGCGUACGAUUAGAUAGUUGGUGAGGUAAAGGCUCACCAAGUCAACGAUCGUUAACUGGUCUGAGAGGAUGAUCAGUCAGACUGGAACUGAGAUACGGUCCAGACUCCUACGGGAGGCAGCAGUGAGGAAUCUUCCACAAUGGGGGCAACCCUGAUGGAGCAACGCCGCGUGCAGGAUGAAGGCCUUCGGGUCGUAAACUGCUUUUAUAGGUGAAUAAUAUGAAUGUAGCUUAUGAAUAAGCACCGGCUAACUACGUGCCAGCAGCCGCGGUCAUACGUAGGGUGCAAGCAUUAUCCGGAGUGACUGGGCGUAAAGAGUUGCGUAGGUGGUUUGUCAAGUGAAUAGUGAAAUCUGGUGGCUCAACCACACAGACUAUUAUUCAAACUGGCAAACUCGAGAAUAGCAGAGGUAACUGGAAUUUCUAGUGUAGGAGUGAAAUCCGUAGAUAUUAGAAGGAACACCAAUGGCGUAGGCAGGUUACUG
RNAcentral lists this ribosomal RNA (577 nucleotides) under uncultured bacterium. RNAcentral's name for it is "bacterial SSU rRNA". It matches the Rfam family "Bacterial small subunit ribosomal RNA", at positions 125 to 731 of the family's 1533-position model. The record is from RNAcentral.